Molecule: ribosomal RNA, 664 nt
Filed under: uncultured bacterium
Lineage: Bacteria
Description: bacterial SSU rRNA
Rfam family: Bacterial small subunit ribosomal RNA
Source: RNAcentral
UAGAGUUUGAUCAUGGCUCAGAUUGAACGCUGGCGGCAGGCCUAACACAUGCAAGUCGAGCGGCAGCACGGGGGAACUUGUUCCCUGGGUGGCGAGCGGCGGACGGGUGAGUAAUGGCUGGGAACCUGCCCUGAUGUGGGGGAUAACAGUUGGAAACGACUGCUAAUACCGCAUGAUGUCUACGGACCAAAGAGGAGGACCUUCGGGCUUCUCGCGUCAGGAUGGGCCCAGUUGGGAUUAGCUAGUUGGUAGGGUAAUGGCCUACCAAGGCGACGAUCCCUAGCUGGUUUGAGAGGAUGAUCAGCCACACUGGAACUGAGACACGGUCCAGACUCCUACGGGAGGCAGCAGUGGGGAAUAUUGCACAAUGGGCGCAAGCCUGAUGCAGCCAUGCCGCGUGUGUGAAGAAGGCCUUCGGGUUGUAAAGCACUUUCAGCAGUGAGGAAGGUGGUGUAGUUAAUACCUGCAUCAUUUGACGUUAGCUGCAGAAGAAGCACCGGCUAACUCCGUGCCAGCAGCCGCGGUAAUACGGAGGGUGCGAGCGUUAAUCGGAAUUACUGGGCGUAAAGCGCAUGCAGGCGGUCUGUUAAGCAAGAUGUGAAAGCCCCGGGCUUAACCUGGGAACCGCAUUUUGAACUGGCAGGCUAGAGUCUUGUAGAGGGGG